GUGAGGAAUAUUGGUCAAUGGCCGGGAGGCUGAACCAGCCAAGUCGCGUGAGGGAAGACGGUCCUAUGGAUUGUAAACCUCUUUUGUCAGGGAGCAAAAACUGCCACGCGUGGCAGGAUGAGAGUACCUGAAGAAAAAGCAUCGGCUAACUCCGUGCCAGCAGCCGCGGUAAUACGGAGGAUGCGAGCGUUAUCCGGAUUUAUUGGGUUUAAAGGGUGCGUAGGCGGACAGUUAAGUCAGCGGUAAAAUUGAGAGGCUCAACCUCUUCCCGCCGUUGAAACUGAUUGUCUUGAGUGGGCGAGAAGUAUGCGGAAUGCGUGGUGUAGCGGUGAAAUGCAUAGAUAUCACGCAGAACUCCGAUUGCGAAGGCAGCAUACCGGCGCCCAACUGACGCUGAAGCACGAAAGCGUGGGUAUCGAACAGG
RNAcentral lists this ribosomal RNA (424 nucleotides) under uncultured Muribaculaceae bacterium. RNAcentral's name for it is "bacterial SSU rRNA". It matches the Rfam family "Bacterial small subunit ribosomal RNA", at positions 354 to 776 of the family's 1533-position model. Lineage: Bacteria; Pseudomonadati; Bacteroidota; Bacteroidia; Bacteroidales; Muribaculaceae. The record is from RNAcentral.